UCUGGGCGUGGUUCCGGCACACGAGCACCCGGCGGCACCAAUUGGAGCUCGCGCUGGCCGUGGUGUUGUCGGUCACCAUGCUGCCUGUGCUGUACAUGGCUUGGGCGUACGCCUUCUUUCACGUAGCUCCACACGUGAACUGGGCCGUCGCCUUGGUUCUCACCCCUUACCUAAUCUUCCAGACAUCGACCUGGUUGGGAUUCGCAGCCUACAGCUUCUGGAUUUACUACGAUGGAAUGAAAUCCUGGUUGGACACCCACGCCGUCUACAAAUUUAAUCACGAGAAUUCUGUACUUCGAGGCAGAGAAGCCUCCUGCUCCCAUUAACGAAAAUGUCAGGGAUUCAUCGUGGGGCUUCUUAUAAGUACGUCAAGAAUCUCAAAAUCUUACGUGCGUGAACUUCAACGGCUUCAUUCAUAAUGGAAGAGUUGCAUCACCUAAUGCCAUUUCAUGCUGCUAGUUCUCUUUUUGUAAUAUUAUUUCCUAACAUGUCGUGUUCAAUAAAUCGUGAUAAUUCUCAUUCUCA
Molecule: long non-coding RNA, 525 nt
Organism: Dermacentor andersoni
Lineage: Eukaryota; Metazoa; Arthropoda; Arachnida; Ixodida; Ixodidae
Source: RefSeq, a predicted model, not a curated record